This 845-nucleotide long non-coding RNA is filed under the name Capsicum annuum. RNAcentral describes it as "long non-coding RNA (CANN_LNC021658)". Lineage: Eukaryota; Viridiplantae; Streptophyta; Magnoliopsida; Solanales; Solanaceae. The record is from RNAcentral.
AAAAAUCUUAUUCAAACCAUGGCUAAAGCUUCACUGAUUAUGCUUUUCCUAGCCACCAUAUUGAUCUUUUCAUCUGGUUAGUCUCUUUCUCUUACUAAAUCACCUGCUCACAAACACAUAUAGUAAUUGAAUCAUAAAUUUGUAAACUUACAAAAUUUUAAUUGAAAAAAAAUUUGUUAGAGUUUUUACCUUAUAAUAUAUGGUGGUUCGUCCUUCGGGAUGGCUCUUUGAGGGUGGUUAUCCACACGGAUGAUUCACAUUCGAUCCUCCUCAGGCCUCAAUGCCUUCUCAUUUGAGACUGUCGCACAGGGCUUGCCUAGUGCGUUUUACAUCCCCUAUGUGGUUUGCACGCUAUUACAUCGUGGAGGGUUUACCCAGUGCGCACAAAAUGCUCGCCAUAAAGUGCUCACCCAAAGGGCAGAGGCUGUGGUAGAUAUUGUAGCGGCUGCAGGUUAUUCUAGGGUUCCCAAAAAUAUAUAUGUGUGUGUGUGUAUGGUGGUUCUGAGUUAUCAAUAGUAAAUGCGAUAGUAGUUAUUAUUUUCAAUUUUUAUUAGAAUGCAUAAUCACAUUGGCUCUAGCCAUACAAUUAACUUUCAAUUUCUUAUUUUGUACAAGGUGCUAAUAAAUAAAAGUUUUUAAUUUUCAGAUGUUAUGAUGGAACAAGUGGGAGGGCCAUGUACUCCACAAACAGGUUGUAUAUGCAGAGUAGGAGUUCCAGAAUGCAUCAAUGGUGUGUGUACUUGUUGUUUUACUCCAACAUGUACUGUUAAACAAGAAAGCAUUGGUCGAGACCGCAAAGUAUUGACCUUGCAAUACUCUUUUAAUUAGUUGUUUGAGCUACUCAG